RNA transcript from Colias croceus (clouded yellow), 2073 nucleotides. It is a transcript of the gene named zinc finger protein OZF-like, with no coding region annotated. The record is from RefSeq and is a predicted model, not a curated record. The transcript is spliced from 7 exons. NCBI's taxonomy places the organism in Eukaryota, Metazoa, Arthropoda, Insecta, Lepidoptera, Pieridae.
GAUUUCUUGUUUACAUAUUUGUUUGGUGUGUUUCAUUUGUGUUUAUAAUUUUUCCAAAGGUCAAUAAUUUCAGUUUACUUCUAAAUAUAAAAAUAAUUUUACUUAAUAUCCCAUUUCAACAACUCAAACUACCUGUGUCAAACUACUAUAUAAAUAUACGCAAUCUCUUUAUCACUCAUACAAUAUCUGAAGAAAAUUAGGUUAUAAAAAUUCGAAUGAAUGACAAAUGUUUUGAUUUUUGUUUAGAUAAAAUAGUAAAAAUGCAUUUAUCGUUACACUAAAUUUAUACUAUUAUGAUGUACAAUAGGUGAAUAAACCACCGACUACACUAAACAAACUAUUUGGAACAUUUUGUUAAAGUUUAUACCUACAGCUACACCUCUACCCCAAUUUAUUGGAAAUUUAUUUAAAGGAUAGAACUAAUCAUCAUGGAAGAAAUAUGCAGAUUGUGUUUAAAAGACUGUACCAGUUCUUUCUACGAAAUAGAAGAAGACUGCGCCCUUUUACAGCAGCUGUCUUUCUGUUUAUCUUAUCAGCUCGCUACAGACAAAAACUUUCCAAAACGAAUAUGUGUAAGUUGCUCAAUUCAAAUAGAAGACAUUCAGUCGUUUAGACAAAUGAUUAUAGAUAACGAACAAGUGUUGCUGCAUAAACUUGAAGAACUAGGAGAUGAAAGGACGAAGAAUUAUCUUGAAGUGAAGAUCGAAAUGCAAAAUGAUGAUGAUGAAGCUACUAUAAAUAUCGAUAAUAUUAUAAAGGUUGAAAAUGAAGAGAAUAGUGAUGAUGGUGAUAAAAUGUCAGAAAAUGAUGCAGUCAAUAGUAUACAAAUAGCAAAUGUCAUUACCUUACAAAGUCACAUUGAUAAAGAUAUGCUUCAAAAAAUGGAUUAUGAUGAGAAAUCGUCUCUGGAAGUAGAUGUCAACACAUGUCUAAUGUGUUUUACUAUAUUUCCAACUAGGCAACUACUUUUGAAACAUUACAUGACUGAAGAGGGCAGUAAAUAUAACGAAUUGCUGUCGAAAAUAGAUUUAAAUGAAUUGUCGACCACUAAAAUUGUUAACGGCGUGACAAUGUAUGGGUGUAACAAAUGUGAUAAGGCGUGUAGGACUCAAAAGUUGAUGACCAUCCAUUUGAUGAACGUUCAUUGUGAGGAGCGCUCGUUUAAUUGUAAAUUAUGUGGUAGGAUGUAUAUAUCAGCAUAUGAUAUUAUGAAUCAUAGCAAGUCACAUGGUAAAAAAUACUACUGUUCAUUUAAAUGUGGAUACAGCUCUUCCUAUGCGCAUAUACUAAGAAAUCAUGAAAUGUGCCACAAAAAAAUGUAUAAGUAUGAAUGUGAUAUUUGUGGAAAGAAGUUUCAAGUCAGAACCUGGUUGGAACAACAUCAAAACGUUCAUACAGACGUGCGUAAAUAUGUAUGUGAUAUAUGCGGAGCCAGCUUUCAUAUGGAUAGAUAUUUAACAUCACAUAAAACGGCAAAGCAUCCUGAGACUAGAGCUAACAAGCCGUACACCUGUUCCCACUGUUCCAAGAUAUUUUACUCGAGAAACAGCCUAAUUUUACAUCUACAGGAUGUGCAACAAGUCGUUCAAAAAGCGGUACAAUUUGCGACUGCAUGAAACGACGCACACCGACAUUAAGAUACAGUGUGACAUGUGCGAGCAGACGUUCGCGCAACGGGGAGGCUUAAUUAGGCAUAUAGCCAGAAAACACAAAGAUGCAACUAAUGCAGGCAAUAAAGAAAAAUGAUGGUCCACAAAUAAAGGCCUGGGAUAAUUAAGUCUUCGAAAUGGACUACACCUGAAUAAUGCGCAAGAGCUUACUGCCACGAUCGUCGAGAUAAAAGGAAAUAGAUCUUAUUGCUAUGCCAUUAGUGCCGUUUUUCCUAUAAAAAGGCUCGUGUACUAAGUUAUUAAGACAAAAUGUCAUUCAAUUCAGAAUUUAACUAUUAUUAUAGUUUAUAAACACAAUGAUUGUUGCUACCUCAGGAUUGUAAAAUUGUGCAAGGCUGCCAGAAAUAAUACAAUAUGUUGAAAAUAAUGUAUUUUGGUAAUUUUUGAAAUAAAACAUUCAUUU